Molecule: ribosomal RNA, 1130 nt
Filed under: Penicillium brevicompactum
Lineage: Eukaryota; Fungi; Ascomycota; Eurotiomycetes; Eurotiales; Aspergillaceae
Description: eukaryotic LSU rRNA
Rfam family: Eukaryotic large subunit ribosomal RNA (bases 521-1130)
Source: RNAcentral
CGUAGGUGACCUGCGGAGGAUCAUUACCGAGUGAGGGCCCUCUGGGUCCAACCUCCCACCCGUGUUUAUUUUACCUUGUUGCUUCGGCGAGCCUGCCUUUUGGCUGCCGGGGGACAUCUGUCCCCGGGUCCGCGCUCGCCGAAGACACCUUAGAACUCUGUCUGAAGAUUGUAGUCUGAGAUUAAAUAUAAAUUAUUUAAAACUUUCAACAACGGAUCUCUUGGUUCCGGCAUCGAUGAAGAACGCAGCGAAAUGCGAUACGUAAUGUGAAUUGCAGAAUUCAGUGAAUCAUCGAGUCUUUGAACGCACAUUGCGCCCUCUGGUAUUCCGGAGGGCAUGCCUGUCCGAGCGUCAUUGCUGCCCUCAAGCACGGCUUGUGUGUUGGGCUCCGUCCUCCUUCCGGGGGACGGGCCCGAAAGGCAGCGGCGGCACCGCGUCCGGUCCUCAAGCGUAUGGGGCUUUGUCACCCGCUUUGUAGGACUGGCCGGCGCCUGCCGAUCAACCAAACUUUUUUCCAGGUUGACCUCGGAUCAGGUAGGGAUACCCGCUGAACUUAAGCAUAUCAAUAAGCGGAGGAAAAGAAACCAACAGGGAUUGCCCCAGUAACGGCGAGUGAAGCGGCAAGAGCUCAAAUUUGAAAGCUGGCUCCUUCGGGGUCCGCAUUGUAAUUUGCAGAGGAUGCUUCGGGAGCGGUCCCCAUCUAAGUGCCCUGGAACGGGACGUCAUAGAGGGUGAGAAUCCCGUAUGGGAUGGGGUGUCCGCGCCCGUGUGAAGCUCCUUCGACGAGUCGAGUUGUUUGGGAAUGCAGCUCUAAAUGGGUGGUAAAUUUCAUCUAAAGCUAAAUAUUGGCCGGAGACCGAUAGCGCACAAGUAGAGUGAUCGAAAGAUGAAAAGCACUUUGAAAAGAGAGUUAAAAAGCACGUGAAAUUGUUGAAAGGGAAGCGCUUGCGACCAGACUCGCUCGCGGGGUUCAGCCGGCAUUCGUGCCGGUGUACUUCCCCGCGAGCGGGCCAGCGUCGGUUUGGGCGGUCGGUCAAAGGCCUCUGGAAGGUAACGCCCCCUCGGGGGCGUCUUAUAGCCAGGGGUGCAAUGCGGCCUGCCCGGACCGAGGAACGCGCUCGGCUCGACGC